Non-coding RNA from Malus domestica (apple), 1685 nucleotides. The record is from RefSeq and is a predicted model, not a curated record. NCBI's taxonomy places the organism in Eukaryota, Viridiplantae, Streptophyta, Magnoliopsida, Rosales, Rosaceae.
CGCCACCGCGCACUAUCACAACUUUCACUUCGUCACCACGACGGUUCUUUUCCCGGUAAUUUAACCGAAACAUCAAGGGUAAUCUGGUCCAGAAACACCAAAUCUCUCUCUCUCUCUCUCUCUCUACACCCUGAAUCACUGACACAGUCACUCUCGAACAGAAGUAAUGCGAAUCUUAUUCGGACGAGCGACCCAAAUUCUGAGCAAAUCGUCUUCCGCUUUCUUCUUCUUCCUCAAUCCAAAUUCCAAACUCUCUCUGUGCAAACUCUCCGAAUCCCCUCUCCUUCUCCGAACCUUCGCGAUCAUGGCCUCCGCCGACGAGUUCGUCAAGGGCAGUGUCCACCCGAACGGCGUCGCAGUCAUCACCCUCGAUCGCCCCCGAGCUCUCAACGCCAUGAACCUAGAUAUGGAUGUGAAAUACAAAAGCUAUCUGGAUGAAUGGGAAUCAGACCCGAGUGUGAAGUGUGUUCUUGUCGAUAGCAGCUCGGCCCGUGCCUUUUGUGCUGGAAUGGAUAUUAAAGGGGUUGUUGCCGAAAUUCAAAAGGACAAAAACACACCUCUUGUGCCGAAGGUAUUCACUGCUGAGUAUUCUCUAAUAUGUAAAAUAUCUGAGUACAAGAAGCCCUAUAUAAGCUUCAUGGAUGGCAUAACAAUGGGCUUUGGUAUUGGCCUAUCAGGUCAUGGUCGCUACCGGAUCAUUACAGAGAGAACUGUUCUUGCUAUGCCAGAGAAUGGAAUUGGUUUGUUUCCAGAUGUUGGGUUUUCACAUAUUGCGGCAAAGAGUCCAGGAGGAGGAUCUGUAGGUGCUUAUCUUGGACUGACUGGUAAAAGGAUUUCAACACCAUCGGAUGCACUAUAUGUGGGUCUUGGGACACAUUUUGUCCCAUCUCAAAACUUAGGUUCUCUAAAGGAGGCCCUUUUGUCAACCAACUUUUCUCAGGAUCCACAUCAGGACAUCGAAACAAAUUUGACGAAAUUCAGCAGCAACCCAGAUUCUGAACCCCAACUUAAGUCGCUGCUGCCUCCAAUAACUUCCACAUUUGGUGCAAAUAAGUCAGUUGUCGAGACAAUUGAUGAACUUAAAAAGCAGCAGCAGAGUUCAGAUGCUACUGUGGUGGAGUGGGCUAAUGAAGCUCUUCAAGGUAUUGGAAAGGGUGCUCCUUUUUCACUUUACCUGACACAAAAUUAUUUCUCCAAGGUUGCAUCUGCGCUUGGGAAAAAUGAGAAUCAAUUAUCCACACUCACAAAUCUGGAAGCUGGAAGUAACAUGUGCCGAACUUGGCCAACACCAGUUAACAGGUGUGAUGAAAACUGAAUAUCGCAUUGCAAUAAGAUCGUCUUUGCGGAGUGAUUUUGCUGAAGGUGUGCGCGCAGUUUUGGUGGACAAGGAUCAGAAUCCAAAGUGGAACCCGUCAAAGUUAGAAGAGGUUAAUCAAAGCGAAGUUGAAGCUCUAUUCGAGCCAUUGAGCCCGAACGUUGAGGAGUUGAGCGUGUGAUGGAUUGGCAUGUGAAAACGGAACUGUUGAAAUAUAUUUACCGUUGUGGAAACUAAGUUUAAUGAAACUACUUGAGAAGAAAGCACUUUCACUUGGACGCUUUUAGUGCUUUUGUACUGCGUUGUACGUGGCCAGUUAUGAACUAAAAUUGUGAUAGUGAUUAUAUGCAUAGACUUGUUCGAAUAUGAA